UGGUAGUGGGGGAUAACGUUCGGAAACGGACGCUAAUACCGCAUACGUCCUACGGGAGAAAGCAGGGGACCUUCGGGCCUUGCGCUAUCAGAUGAGCCUAGGUCGGAUUAGCUAGUUGGUGAGGUAAUGGCUCACCAAGGCGACGAUCCGUAACUGGUCUGAGAGGAUGAUCAGUCACACUGGAACUGAGACACGGUCCAGACUCCUACGGGAGGCAGCAGUGGGGAAUAUUGGACAAUGGGCGAAAGCCUGAUCCAGCCAUGCCGCGUGUGUGAAGAAGGUCUUCGGAUUGUAAAGCACUUUAAGUUGGGAGGAAGGGUUGUAGAUUAAUACUCUGCAAUUUUGACGUUACCGACAGAAUAAGCACCGGCUAACUCUGUGCCAGCAGCCGCGGUAAUACAGAGGGUGCAAGCGUUAAUCGGAAUUACUGGGCGUAAAGCGCGCGUAGGUGGUUUGUUAAGUUGGAUGUGAAAUCCCCGGGCUCAACCUGGGAACUGCAUUCAAAACUGACUGACUAGAGUAUGGUAGAGGGUGGUGGAAUUUC
Molecule: ribosomal RNA, 544 nt
Filed under: Pseudomonas synxantha
Lineage: Bacteria; Pseudomonadati; Pseudomonadota; Gammaproteobacteria; Pseudomonadales; Pseudomonadaceae
Description: bacterial SSU rRNA
Rfam family: Bacterial small subunit ribosomal RNA
Source: RNAcentral